CUUCUGCCCAAUGAAUUUUUAAUGGCCGCAGUACCUUGACUGUGCUAAGGUAGCAUAAUAAAUUGGCUUUUAAUUGGAGUCUAGAAUGAAUGAAGAAACGGAAAAAAGCUGUCUUUUAUUGGCUAAUAAUAAGUUAUUAAGAUGGUGAAAAUCCCACCGUGAAGAAAUAGGACGAGAAGACCCUAAGAAUUUUGAAUGAUAGCUUUAGUAAGUUUGAUUUUUUUGGCUGGGGCGGCUAAGGAUCAAUUAAAAAAACAUCCUCGUGCUUAUCUGUUACUAACAUUUUUUAUUAAUAUUACCUUAGGGAUAACAGCAUAAUUUUAUUUUUAGUUUGUGACCUCGAUGUUGGACUAGGGUUCUUAAGAUUAAAAGUCUAAAAGUUUU
Molecule: ribosomal RNA, 384 nt
Filed under: Eleutherocaulis natalensis
Lineage: Eukaryota; Metazoa; Mollusca; Gastropoda; Systellommatophora; Veronicellidae
Description: Laevicaulis natalensis partial 16S ribosomal RNA
Rfam family: Bacterial large subunit ribosomal RNA
Source: RNAcentral